RNAcentral lists this long non-coding RNA (511 nucleotides) under Glycine max (soybean). RNAcentral's name for it is "long non-coding RNA (GMAX_LNC001644)". Lineage: Eukaryota; Viridiplantae; Streptophyta; Magnoliopsida; Fabales; Fabaceae. The record is from RNAcentral.
UCACCUCCAUCACCUUCACCAUUUCCUUCACCUACAGCACCGGUAACACCUUCUCCAUCACCUUCUACGCCUUCACCAUUUCCUUCACCUACAACACCGGUAACACCACCUUCACCCUCACAUUCCCCUCCAUCACCUUCUACGCCUUCACCUACAACACCGGUUACACCUUCUCCCUCACAUUCACCUCCAUCACCUGCUACACCUUCACCAUUUCCUUCACCUACAACACCGGUAACACCUUCACCCUCACAUUCCCCUCCAUCACCUGCUACACCUUCACCAUUUCCUUCACCUACAACACCGGUAACACCUUCACCCUCACAUUCCCCUCCGUCACCUGCUACACCUACAACACCGGUAACACCUUCACCUUCACAUUCCCCUCCGUCACCUGCUACACCUUCACCAUUUCCUUCACCUACAACACCGGUAACACCUUCACCUUCACAUUCCCCUCCGUCACCUGCUACACCUUCACCAUUUCCUUCACCUACAACUCCUGUAACAC